AUUGAACGCUGGCGGCAGGCCUAACACAUGCAAGUCGGACGGUAGCACAGAGAGCUUGCUCUCGGGUGACGAGUGGCGGACGGGUGAGUAAUGUCUGGGGAUCUGCCCGAUAGAGGGGGAUAACCACUGGAAACGGUGGCUAAUACCGCAUAACGUCGCAAGACCAAAGAGGGGGACCUUCGGGCCUCUCACUAUCGGAUGAACCCAGAUGGGAUUAGCUAGUAGGCGGGGUAACGGCCCACCUAGGCGACGAUCCCUAGCUGGUCUGAGAGGAUGACCAGCCAGCCUGGAACUGAGAAACGGUCCAGACUCCUACGGGAGGCAGCAGUGGGGAAUAUUGCACAAUGGGCGCAAGCCUGAUGCAGCCAUGCCGCGUGUAUGAAGAAGGCCUUCGGGUUGUAAAGUACUUUCAGCGGGGAGGAAGGCGAUGUGGUUAAUAACCGUAUCGAUUGACGUUACCCGCAGAAGAAGCACCGGCUAACUCCGUGCCAGCCGCCGCAGUAA
RNAcentral lists this ribosomal RNA (504 nucleotides) under uncultured bacterium. RNAcentral's name for it is "partial 16S ribosomal RNA". It matches the Rfam family "Bacterial small subunit ribosomal RNA", at positions 29 to 523 of the family's 1533-position model. The record is from RNAcentral.